CGACUUCUCAAGAGUUGACCUCGAAUCAGGUAGGACUACCC
This 41-nucleotide ribosomal RNA is filed under the name Myriogenospora atramentosa. RNAcentral describes it as "partial 28S ribosomal RNA". The record is from RNAcentral. Lineage: Eukaryota; Fungi; Ascomycota; Sordariomycetes; Hypocreales; Clavicipitaceae.